GCCUCCCAAGCUCAGACGGCAGAGCGCCGGUGUGAAGAACCGGAGGUUGUCCGUUCGACCCGGACGGGAGGCACCA
Molecule: transfer RNA, 76 nt
Filed under: Micromonosporaceae bacterium
Lineage: Bacteria; Bacillati; Actinomycetota; Actinomycetes; Micromonosporales; Micromonosporaceae
Description: tRNA-Phe
Rfam family: tRNA
About the family: Transfer RNA (tRNA) molecules are approximately 80 nucleotides in length. Their secondary structure includes four short double-helical elements and three loops (D, anti-codon, and T loops). Further hydrogen bonds mediate the characteristic L-shaped molecular structure. tRNAs have two regions of fundamental functional importance: the anti-codon, which is responsible for specific mRNA codon recognition, and the 3' end, to which the tRNAs corresponding amino acid is attached (by aminoacyl-tRNA synthetases). tRNAs cope with the degeneracy of the genetic code in two manners: having more than one tRNA (with a specific anti-codon) for a particular amino acid; and 'wobble' base-pairing, i.e. permitting non-standard base-pairing at the 3rd anti-codon position.
Source: RNAcentral